Molecule: non-coding RNA, 901 nt
Organism: Chrysemys picta bellii (western painted turtle)
Lineage: Eukaryota; Metazoa; Chordata; Testudines; Emydidae
Source: RefSeq, a predicted model, not a curated record
GGGGUUCCCAUCCACCCGUACUUGCUGUCUGCUGAAUCUCAGCUGGAGAUGAUCCUCAAAUCAAGAGGAAAAACAUAAGAUGAAAGAACAAAGGCCCCAAAUCAUCUCUCUCUCAUCUCUACUCACAGCAUCAACAACCCUCGAAGGACAAAGGAAGCAUGAUUGAGGAGGGAUGCUGGCUGACAAUUCAGCCAAUUAGAUUGCUAUAACCUGUGCACACCCAAGUGUAGCACUGACACAGCCUAGCUUUUCAGGAGAGGAAGAACAAAAGAUUUGUGUGGUUGGUGGUCGCUUCAUCCCAGAGCCCUUUAAAAGAAGGGGAGGAGGACCUUUCUACCCAGGAGAGCGUACAGGGCCAGAACGCAAUAUUCCCCAGCUUUGCUAUGUGAGUGCUUUCUGUGAGAAGGCCACGUGUAACUGAAAUUCAUAUUAACCUAAGAACGGCCAGACUGGGUCAGACCAAUGGUCCAUCUAGCCCAGUAUCCUGUUUUCUGACAGUGACCAGUGCCAGACGCUUCAGAGGGAAUGAACAGAACACGGCCAUUAUUGAGUGAUCUAUCCUCCGUCGGCCAGUCACAGCUUUUGACAGGCAGAAGUUUAGGGACACCCAGAGCAUGGGGUUGUGUCCCUGACCAUCUUGGUGAAUAGCCAUUGAUGGACCUAUCCUCCAUGAAUUUAUCCAGUUCUUUUAUGAACCCAGUUAUAAUUUUGGCUUUCACAACAUCCCUUGGCCACGCUUUCCACAGGUUGACAAUGACUACUUUUGACAACCACACAUCGUUGGUCUUGGGGAUUUUAGGUUUUGCAGGAAGUACUCCACUCUUUACAGACCUACAGUUGGUUCAAUAUUUUCCAACCUCAGUCCUGUACCACUGAAAUAAAAGGUUCCACACUAAGAGCA